CCUACGGGAGGCUGCAGUGGGGAAUAUUGCACAAUGGGGGAAACCCUGAUGCAUCGACGCCGCGUGAGUGAAGAAGUAUUUCGGUAUGUAAAGCUCUAUCAGCAGGGAAGAAGCAAGACGGUACCUGACUAAGACGCCCCGGCUAACUACGUGCCAGCAGCCGCGGUAAUACGUAGGGGGCAAGCGUUAUCCGGAUUUACUGGGUGUAAAGGGAGCGUAGGAGGUAUGGCAAGUCUGAAGUGAAAGCCCAGGGUUUAACCCUGGGACUGCUUUGGAAACUGUUAGACUAGAGUGAUGGAGAGGUAAGUGGAAUUCCUAGUGUAGCGGUGAAAUGCGUAGAUAUUAGGAAGAACACCAGAGGCGAAGGCAGCUUACUGGACAGUAACUGACGUUGAGGCUCGAAAGCGUGGGGAGCAAACAGGAUUAGAUACCCGAGUAGUC
This 441-nucleotide ribosomal RNA is filed under the name uncultured bacterium. RNAcentral's name for it is "partial 16S ribosomal RNA". It matches the Rfam family "Bacterial small subunit ribosomal RNA", at positions 338 to 795 of the family's 1533-position model. The record is from RNAcentral.